GUUCCUGUAGUUAAAUGUUUAUAACAAUGGCUUUUCAAGCCAUAGGUCCUGGAUAGAGUCCUGGCAGGAAUC
Molecule: transfer RNA, 72 nt
Filed under: Dicrurus hottentottus (hair-crested drongo)
Lineage: Eukaryota; Metazoa; Chordata; Aves; Passeriformes; Dicruridae
Description: tRNA-Glu
Rfam family: tRNA
About the family: Transfer RNA (tRNA) molecules are approximately 80 nucleotides in length. Their secondary structure includes four short double-helical elements and three loops (D, anti-codon, and T loops). Further hydrogen bonds mediate the characteristic L-shaped molecular structure. tRNAs have two regions of fundamental functional importance: the anti-codon, which is responsible for specific mRNA codon recognition, and the 3' end, to which the tRNAs corresponding amino acid is attached (by aminoacyl-tRNA synthetases). tRNAs cope with the degeneracy of the genetic code in two manners: having more than one tRNA (with a specific anti-codon) for a particular amino acid; and 'wobble' base-pairing, i.e. permitting non-standard base-pairing at the 3rd anti-codon position.
Source: RNAcentral